Molecule: regulatory RNA element, 81 nt
Organism: Pirellula staleyi DSM 6068
Lineage: Bacteria; Pseudomonadati; Planctomycetota; Planctomycetia; Pirellulales; Pirellulaceae
Rfam family: Peptidase-S11 RNA
About the family: Enterobacteria.
Source: Rfam
AUCAUGAUGUCGAUGCCAGCUCUGGUGUACGUCUUAGGACUCUCCGGGGCGGCGCAUAUCAUGAACUAUUAUCAGGAAGCG